AAAUCCGGUUGAUCCUGCCGGAGGCUACCGCUAUUGGAGUUCGAUUAAGCCAUGCGAGUCGAGAGUCUUAGGGACUCGGCGUACCGCUCAGUAACACGUGGGUAACCUGCCCUAUGCUGGGGAAUAACCUCGGGAAACUGAGAAUAAUGCCCCAUAGUCCACCAUGCCUGGAACGGUUGGUGGAUCAAAGCCCCGGCGGCAUAGGAUGGGCCUGCGGCGUAUCAGGUCGUAGGGGGUGUAACGUACCCUCUAGCCAUCGACGCGUACGGGUGUUGGGAGACAUAGCCCGGAGAUGGAUUCUGAGACACGAAUCCAGACCCUACGGGGUGCAGCAGGCGCGAAAACUUGGCAAUGCGAGAAAUCGUGACCAGGGAACUCCAAGUGGCUGGGGUAAGACCCAGUCUUUUCUUGACUCUUAAACGGUCUUGGAAUAAGGGGUGGGUAAGGACGGUGCCAGCCGCCGCGGUAAUACCGGCGCCUCAAGUGGUAGUCGAUUUUAUUGGGCCUAAAACGUCCGUAGCCUGUUUGGUACAUUCGUGGGUAAAUCAACCAGCUUAACUGAUUGAAUUCUGCGAGCACGGCCAGACUUGGGACCGGGAGAGGUGUGGGGUACGCUCAGGGUAGGGGUAAAAUCCUGUCAUCCUGAGCGGACCACCUGUUGCGAAGGCGCCACACUAGAACGGAUCCGACGGUCAGGGACGAAGCCUAGGGGCACGAACCGGAUUAGAUACCCGGGUAGUCCUAGGUGUAAACGCUGUGGACUUGAUGUUGGGGGCGCUCCGAGCGCUUUCAGUGUCGAAGCGAAGGUGAUAAGUCCACUGCCUGGGGAGUACGGUCGCAAGGCUGAAACUUAAAGGAAUUGGCGGGGGAGCACCGCAACCUGAGGAUUGUGCGGUUUAAUUGGAUUCAACGCCGGAAAACUCACCAGUGCCGACGGACAAAUGAAAGCCAGUUUGAUGAGCUUGCUGGAUUGUUCGAGAGGUAGUGCAUGGCCGUCGUCAGUUCGUACCGUAAGGCGUUCUGUUAAGUCAGAUAACGAACGAGACCUCCGUCACCAUUUGCUAUCUUCUUCUCCGGAAGGGGAGCACUAUGGUGGUACCGCCACUGUUAAAGUGGAGG
This 1119-nucleotide ribosomal RNA is filed under the name Marine Group II euryarchaeote MED-G37. RNAcentral's name for it is "bacterial SSU rRNA". It matches the Rfam family "Archaeal small subunit ribosomal RNA", at positions 1 to 1125 of the family's 1478-position model. The record is from RNAcentral. Lineage: Archaea; Methanobacteriati; Thermoplasmatota; Candidatus Poseidoniia; Candidatus Poseidoniales.